This 1761-nucleotide long non-coding RNA is filed under the name Vitis vinifera (wine grape). Its description in RNAcentral is "long non-coding RNA (VVIN_LNC007438)". Lineage: Eukaryota; Viridiplantae; Streptophyta; Magnoliopsida; Vitales; Vitaceae. The record is from RNAcentral.
UAGCAUUGAUUAUCAUAGUAAGUAUUGAAAUUAUGAGGGUAACUAAGUACAUCAACUUGCCCAUAGUGUUUGAUUUUUCUAUAGCAUUGACUAUCUUAGUCAGUAUUGAAGUAUGGGGGUGACUGGGUACAUCAACUUGCCCAUAAUGUUUGAUUUUUCCAUAUAGAAUGUUUUGUAGCUAGCCAAGCAUGGUGAGCUAUUUAAUUACAAGACAUACCCACAUGCUUGUGUGAAAGAAAGGAGGUCCUUGCAAGUUGUUAUCCUAUUUAAUAGGUGAAGUAUUAGAAUUAUUGAAAAUAAUUGUCUUAAAUUAUGCGUCUAUGUAACUUUUUAUUAUAUUAAAUACAUGCUUUAGACAUUGUUACUAAAUACUGGAUUAAAACAUGAAUUUCCUAAGUAAUUAAAAUGACUACUCUUGAACUUGAAUUCCAUUCUUUCUCAUUUUAGCAAAAUAAAUAAAUAAAAUCCCUUUUAUAGAUGAUAAUUGUUGCAAAUUGUUAAAUUGUUGGAAAAGGCAUAUUAUAGGGUUUUGCUUUGAUAUUUUGGUGCUACUAAAUAGAUUGAACCAAUUUAGUAGGCUUUUACACUCUCCACAUAAGACAAUUAUAUGUUAUUUAACGGGGAUUGAGGACGGAGAUUUCACUUCAAGGCAUGAUGAAAGUCUUUUUUUUUUCUUCAAAGAACUGACACAACUAAAGUUGAUCUCAAAAGCAAAUCCAUAAAUGUAUUAAGAUCAAAUCUGAAAUUUCCAAAGGAGGGAAAAAAAUAACAAAGAAAAAAAAAACUCAUAUUUGGUAUAAGUGUAUAAUAUAAUUGAUUUUUAUGAAUUUCUAAACCUCCAAUAUAGUUUAAUAGGUUAUAUCUUAUCUAUACACCUUUCUCCAUGGAAUAUUAGGUACCAAUCAAUUCUAUUGGCAUCAUGUUUCCAUCUCUACUUCAAGUCAUAUUUAUGCCUGGACAUCUGUGGAUGGACCUUAUACCAAUGCAAAGCAAGUGGAGUAGCAAAAUUUCUUAGCCAUUGCAUUAUGAAUCUUAUCAUCUUUUUUGGAUUCUAGUUAUGACAAUGAAUAGCAUUUGACACUCAGCCUCUCAAACUUGACAAGUCCCUGUGGGACCAAUGAGGAAAGAAAUUGAUUCAUGCAUCAUUUUAUUGUGGGGGACUACAACUUGGAACCAUGAGAGAUCAUUUUUUUGUUUGUAGUUGUAGAUCUUUCUCUAUGCACUCACCUUCAAACUUUCAAAUAAUUCUCCUUUUGUGAGUUUAGAUUGUUAUUUUGCCCUUGUGGAAUUUGCUACUACAUUUCUAGUGAAACCUAACUUGGUAUCCCCUGCAUUUUUCUAAUUUGAAAAAAGUAUGCCUUUAUUGACUAAUGUAAGGCUCUCCAAAAUCUGAUUUUGAUUUUGUUUAUUUCUUUAUGAAUCAUAUCAUCAAUUUUUCUUAUGAAUUUUCUCUUAAGAAUAAGGAAAUUAGUAACUCUCUAAAAGUACCUCAUUUCUUAAUAAGAAAUUAAUGGUAAAAAAGGACAUCAACUUGCCCACAGUGUUUGAUUUUUCUAUAGCAUUGACUAUCUUAGUCAGUAUUGAAGUAUGGGGGUGACUGGGUACAUCAACUUGCCCAUAAUGUUUGAUUUUUCCAUAUAGCUAGCCAAGCAUGGUGAGCUAGUUAAUUAUAAGACAUACCCACAUGCUUGUGUGAAAGAAAGGAGGUCCUUUCAAGUUGUUAUCCUAUUUAAUGGGUGAAGUAUUAGAAUUAUUGAAAAU